This 504-nucleotide ribosomal RNA is filed under the name Lysobacter sp. l11. Its description in RNAcentral is "bacterial SSU rRNA". It matches the Rfam family "Bacterial small subunit ribosomal RNA", at positions 20 to 513 of the family's 1533-position model. Lineage: Bacteria; Pseudomonadati; Pseudomonadota; Gammaproteobacteria; Lysobacterales; Lysobacteraceae. The record is from RNAcentral.
UGGCUCAGAGUGAACGCUGGCGGCAGGCCUAACACAUGCAAGUCGAACGGCAGCACAACAGAGCUUGCUCUGUGGGUGGCGAGUGGCGGACGGGUGAGGAAUACGUCGGAAUCUGCCUUUUUGUGGGGGAUAACGUAGGGAAACUUACGCUAAUACCGCAUACGACCUACGGGUGAAAGCGGAGGACCUUCGGGCUUCGCGCAGAAAGAUGAGCCGACGUCGGAUUAGCUAGUUGGAGGGGUAAUGGCCCACCAAGGCGACGAUCCGUAGCUGGUCUGAGAGGAUGAUCAGCCACACUGGGACUGAGACACGGCCCAGACUCCUACGGGAGGCAGCAGUGGGGAAUAUUGGACAAUGGGCGCAAGCCUGAUCCAGCCAUGCCGCGUGUGUGAAGAAGGCCUUCGGGUUGUAAAGCACUUUUGUACGGGAAGAAAAGCAAUCGGUUAAUACCCGGUUGUCAUGACGGUACCGUAAGAAUAAGCACCGGCUAACUUCGUGCCAGCA